RNAcentral lists this ribosomal RNA (253 nucleotides) under uncultured bacterium. RNAcentral describes it as "partial 16S ribosomal RNA". It matches the Rfam family "Bacterial small subunit ribosomal RNA", at positions 524 to 776 of the family's 1533-position model. The record is from RNAcentral.
UACGUAGGGUGCGAGCGUUGUCCGGAAUUAUUGGGCGUAAAGGGCUCGUAGGCGGUUUGUCACGUCGGGAGUGAAAACUCACGGCUCAACUCUGGGCCUGCUUCCGAUACGGGCAGACUUGAGGUAUGCAGGGGAGAACGGAAUUCCUGGUGUAGCGGUGAAAUGCGCAGAUAUCAGGAGGAACACCGGUGGCGAAGGCGGUUCUCUGGGCAUUACCUGACGCUGAGGAGCGAAAGCGUGGGGAGCGAACAGG